CCACAAACUAAAGGUGCUCUUUGCAGCGAAGGAGCGCCAACAACAAGGCAAAUACAAGUAGUCGAUCUCUUCUCCUCAUGGCACAUGUCAAACAGAGCGACACAAGGAGGACCGUGGCCAUCAAUUUCCUGGUCAUUGCUAUGAUGUUUGCUUCCACUUUGCCACCCUGCCAUGCACUCAAGAUUGUGGGCGAGAAAUGUGUGUAUUUGCAACGGUGCACCACAACUGACUGCAAGGAUGAAUGCAUGCGACUAAUCGGGCACAAACGUGGCUGGGUCGGGACUUGCAGAGAGGUUAAUAGCUGUUGCUGCAGAAAAUACGGGAAAGCACCAUUUUGAUCGUGGCUCCAUGAUGUAAGAUGAAUCCCAGUCGUGCUUGUGCGAAUUGUAAUCCCCGCGAAUAAGAUCAUCGCAUGUAAUGUAUCUAUCUGUUUCAUCAAAAUGGAAUAAACAUUUGGGA
Molecule: long non-coding RNA, 459 nt
Organism: Triticum aestivum (bread wheat)
Lineage: Eukaryota; Viridiplantae; Streptophyta; Magnoliopsida; Poales; Poaceae
Exons: 2
Source: RefSeq, a predicted model, not a curated record